UGCAGCGACGCCGCGUGAGGGAUGACGGCCUUCGGGUUGUAAACCUCUUUCAGCAGGGAAGAAGCGAGAGUGACGGUACCUGCAGAAGAAGCGCCGGCUAACUACGUGCCAGCAGCCGCGGUAAUACGUAGGGCGCAAGCGUUGUCCGGAAUUAUUGGGCGUAAAGAGCUCGUAGGCGGCUUGUCGCGUCGGAUGUGAAAGCCCGGGGCUUAACCCCGGGUCUGCAUUCGAUACGGGCAGGCUAGAGUUCGGUAGGGGAGAUCGGAAUUCCUGGUGUAGCGGUGAAAUGCGCAGAUAUCAGGAGGAACACCGGUGGCGAAGGCGGAUCUCUGGGCCGAUACUGACGCUGAGGAGCGAAAGCGUGGGGAGCGAACAGGAUUAGAUACCCUGGUAGUCCACGCCGUAAACGUUGGGAACUAGGUGUGGGCGACAUUCCACGUCGUCCGUGCCGCAGCUAACGCAUUAAGUUCCCCGCCUGGGGAGUACGGCCGCAAGGCUAAAACUCAAAGGAAUUGACGGGGGCCCGCACAAGCAGCGGAGCAUGUGGCUUAAUUCGACGCAACGCGAAGAACCUUACCAAGGCUUGACAUACACCGGAACGUCUGGAGACAGGCGCCCCCUUGUGGUCGGUG
This 632-nucleotide ribosomal RNA is filed under the name Streptomyces sp. Ri3Pw_6388. RNAcentral's name for it is "bacterial SSU rRNA". It matches the Rfam family "Bacterial small subunit ribosomal RNA", at positions 387 to 1031 of the family's 1533-position model. Lineage: Bacteria; Bacillati; Actinomycetota; Actinomycetes; Kitasatosporales; Streptomycetaceae. The record is from RNAcentral.